RNAcentral lists this ribosomal RNA (430 nucleotides) under Acidobacteriota bacterium. Its description in RNAcentral is "Acidobacteria bacterium partial 16S ribosomal RNA". It matches the Rfam family "Bacterial small subunit ribosomal RNA", at positions 355 to 776 of the family's 1533-position model. The record is from RNAcentral. Lineage: Bacteria; Pseudomonadati; Acidobacteriota.
UGGGGAAUAUUGGACAAUGGGCGCAAGCCUGAUCUAGCCAUGCCGCGUGUGUGAAGAAGGCCUUUUGGUUGUAAAGCACUUUAAGCGAGGAGGAGGCUACUUGGAUUAAUACUCUAGGAUAGUGGACGUUACUCGCAGAAUAAGCACCGGCUAACUCUGUGCCAGCAGCCGCGGUAAUACAGAGGGUGCGAGCGUUAAUCGGAUUUACUGGGCGUAAAGCGUGCGUAGGCGGCUUCUUAAGUCGGAUGUGAAAUCCCUGAGCUUAACUUAGGAAUUGCAUUCGAUACUGGGAAGCUAGAGUAUGGGAGAGGAUGGUAGAAUUCCAGGUGUGGCGGUGAAAUGCGUAGAGAUCUGGAGGAAUACCGAUGGCGAAGGCAGCCAUCUGGCCUAAUACUGACGCUGAGGUACGAAAGCAUGGGGAGCAAACAGG